This 82-nucleotide transfer RNA is filed under the name Photorhabdus temperata. RNAcentral describes it as "tRNA-Lys". It matches the Rfam family "tRNA". Rfam says of the family: Transfer RNA (tRNA) molecules are approximately 80 nucleotides in length. Lineage: Bacteria; Pseudomonadati; Pseudomonadota; Gammaproteobacteria; Enterobacterales; Morganellaceae. The record is from RNAcentral.
GUGUCGUUAGCUCAGUCGGUAGAGCAGUUGACUUUUAAUCAACAACGCGUAAGCGCACUUGGAAAUCCUACACUCCUUACCA